CCCCGUCCCCCUGCUCCCUUUGUCUCUCGUCCGUCUCUCAUUGUACUCAAGCUCGUCAUCCUCUGUCGUCGUUAUCUGUCUCUCUAUCCAAUCUCGUCUGUCCUGAGAAUGUGUAGUUGAAUAAGUUAUUUAGCGCGAGAUUCUUUUAUUUAAUCUCUUGUUGAAACUUGAAACAAACAUGAGCACAAGUUUUACCUCUCCUCACUUAUUGUUUAGUCCUUUUCUUUGGAUUUACAUUCUGAUCAUGUUUUUGGAUAGAUGGUUCUUUCUUUCUUUCUUUCUUUCUAAUGAUUUUUAGUUGCCAUUUGAGUUGCAUUGAACAGUGAUGAAGCCUGUUAGCAUGGACAUAAACACAAUCCAGUAGCUCCCUGUUAAUCCUCUCCCAUUUGCUAGGUUUUUUCCGUCAUCAACUGUAGCCUUUGGAAAAGGUGCUAAAGUAGAACACAAUUGUGUGUUUUGGAGACUGGUUCUGGCAAGACUUUGAUUACCACCAUACUACUGCGCAGUUAUGCCUAUCUUCUUCGCAAGCCUUCAUGUUGCCAAGCAUGACAGAUUAAGCUCCUUUCUUUUCUGCAUGUGUCUAUACUAUGCCAAGCAUAGAAUGUUAAAAAAAUGAGCCUUUUCUUUACUUCUCUGGGUAUGAACUAUUGUUGUAGAUUUUUAUUGUAAACAUGGGUUACUUGAAGAAGCUGAUCAGGUGUUUGAUAAAAUGACUCUUGAGAGAUUUAAGUAGAAAAAAGCAAUGAAAAAAGCAUAGUUAGGCAUCGUUAAGCCUAGCCAGCCAUCAAA
Long non-coding RNA from Populus trichocarpa (black cottonwood), 789 nucleotides. RefSeq lists it as uncharacterized. The record is from RefSeq and is a predicted model, not a curated record. The transcript is spliced from 2 exons. NCBI's taxonomy places the organism in Eukaryota, Viridiplantae, Streptophyta, Magnoliopsida, Malpighiales, Salicaceae.